UACAUACUCCCUCUGUCCGGAAAUACUUGUCUUAAAAAUGGAUAAAAUGGAUGAAUCUAUAACUAAAAUAAGUCUAGACACAACCAUUUUUAGGACAAGUAUUUCCGGACGGAGGGAGUACAAG
This is a non-coding RNA of Triticum urartu, 124 nucleotides long. The record is from Rfam. Lineage: Eukaryota; Viridiplantae; Streptophyta; Magnoliopsida; Poales; Poaceae.